This 1197-nucleotide ribosomal RNA is filed under the name uncultured bacterium. RNAcentral describes it as "bacterial SSU rRNA". It matches the Rfam family "Bacterial small subunit ribosomal RNA", at positions 267 to 1478 of the family's 1533-position model. The record is from RNAcentral.
UACGCGGCUGGUUCCUUUAGAAUAGUUCCGAACAGAUGAUCCACCCACACCUGCGACGAGGGCAGGGGGCCCGGGCUGGCGUCGUAAGGCAACUAUUCGCCCAAAUCGACCAAAUGGAGAAACCCCGACCCCGAAAUGCCGCUCGCGUGAUGUCAGCGAAAGGGUUUUAUGGUGUUUUGACCCGGGAUGUUAAUGACAGUACCGGGGGAAUAAGCUCCGGCCGAAUCGUCACAAGAAGCGGGGGAAAACGGAGGGGACCUAUCAUUAUUUAGUAUUUUUUUGCGUAAGCGCUGUAGCCGGCUUUGUAGGAAGAGGUGAGAGCCCAGAGCUCCCCUCAGAAAUUCUUUUUAGACCCCAUGGCUUGAAUCUGGGAGAGGUCAGUAGAAUUGUGAGUGUAGAGGUGAAAUUCGUAGAUAUUAGGAAAACACCAGUGGUGAAGGCGCCUGACUCGACAUUUUAUUGACGGUGUGGUGCGAAAAGUGGUGGGAGCAGUCAGCAUUAGAUACCAUGGUAUUCCCCGCCGUAAACGAUGAUAACUAGCUGUCCGGACACUUGAUGUUUGGGUGGCGCAGCACACGCAUUAAGUUAUCCGCCUGGGGAGUACGGCCGCAAGGUUAAAACUCAAAUGAAUGGACGGGGGCCUGCACAAGCGGUGGAGCAUGUGGUUUAAUUGGAAGCAACGCGCAGAACCUUACCAGCGUUUGACAAGGCAGGACGACUUCCAGAGAUGGAUUUCUUCCCUUCGGGGACCUGCACCCAGGUGCUGCACGGCUGUCGUCAGCUCGUGUCGUGAGAAGUUGGGUUAAGUCCCGCAACGAGAGCAACCCUCGCCUUUAGUUCCCAUCAUUCAGUUGGGCACUUCAAAGGAACCGCCGGUGAUAAGCCGGAGGAAGGUGGGGAUGACGUCAAGUCCUCAUGGCCCUUACGCGCUGGGCUACACACGUGCUACAAUGGCGGUGACAGUGGGCAGCAAGCACGCGAGUGUGAGCUAAUCUCCAAAAGCCGUCUCAGUUCGGAUUGUUCUCUGCAACUCGAGAGCAUGAAGGCGGAAUCGCUAGUAAUCGCGGAUCAGCAUGCCGCGGUGAAUACGUUCCCAGGCCUUGUACACACCGCCCGUCACCCCUUGGAGUUGGAUUCACCCGAAGGCGUUGCGCUAACUCGCAAGAGAGGCAGGCGACCACGGUGGUUAGCGACCGA